GUCCAUGUACGCGGGACUGGCGAUGUCCCUCCUAAGGGGAAGGUUGCAGGUUCGAACCCCGCCUGGGACACCA
This 73-nucleotide transfer RNA is filed under the name Pseudomonas syringae. Its description in RNAcentral is "tRNA-Arg". Lineage: Bacteria; Pseudomonadati; Pseudomonadota; Gammaproteobacteria; Pseudomonadales; Pseudomonadaceae. The record is from RNAcentral.